Molecule: unclassified non-coding RNA, 299 nt
Filed under: uncultured fungus
Lineage: Eukaryota; Fungi
Description: sequence contains ITS1
Rfam family: 5.8S ribosomal RNA (bases 1-101)
Source: RNAcentral
AAAGUGCGACAAGUGUCAUGACUUGCAGAUACCCGAGAGCUGACAAAUUUCUGAAUGCAAAUUGCAGCCAAGUUAACCUGGCUAUACAUUGUAGAGAGUACUUAGCGUACGCUCCUCAUCCAACGUUGUUUUCUCAACGCUGGGACAUGCAAUCCCGAGAACUAAUCCUUCUCCCGGUUGUCAAAGUUAGAAAACUUUCUAGUUUUCCCGAAUCAAACCGAGACGAUAAGAAAUACCACCAUUUUUCUUUCUCUUCUCACAUCUUACCUCUGCAAUGUAGGAGAACCCGCUGAACUUAA